Molecule: ribosomal RNA, 577 nt
Filed under: uncultured bacterium
Lineage: Bacteria
Description: partial 16S ribosomal RNA
Rfam family: Bacterial small subunit ribosomal RNA
Source: RNAcentral
UGGGGAAUUUUGGACAAUGGGCGAAAGCCUGAUCCAGCAAUGCCGCGUGUGUGAAGAAGGCCUUCGGGUUGUAAAGCACUUUUGUCCGGAAAGAAAUCCUUGGCUCUAAUACAGUCGGGGGAUGACGGUACCGGAAGAAUAAGCACCGGCUAACUACGUGCCAGCAGCCGCGGUAAUACGUAGGGUGCAAGCGUUAAUCGGAAUUACUGGGCGUAAAGCGUGCGCAGGCGGUUUGCUAAGACCGAUGUGAAAUCCCCGGGCUCAACCUGGGAACUGCAUUGGUGACUGGCAGGCUAGAGUAUGGCAGAGGGGGGUAGAAUUCCACGUGUAGCAGUGAAAUGCGUAGAGAUGUGGAGGAAUACCGAUGGCGAAGGCAGCCCCCUGGGCCGAUACUGACGCUCAUGCACGAAAAGCGUGGGGAGCAAACAGGAUUAGAUACCCUGGUAGUCCACGCCCUAAAACGAUGUCAACUAGUUGUUGGGGAUUCAUUUCCUUAGUAACGUAGCUAACGCGUGAAGUUGACCGCCUGGGGAGUACGGUCGCAAGAUUAAAACUUAAAUGAAUUGACGGGGUCAUA